AGAAUCAACGCUGGCGGCGUGCCUAACACAUGCAAGUCGAACGAGAAAGGGGUAGCAAUACCCUGAGUAAAGUGGCGCACGGGUGAGUAACACGUGACUAACCUACCCUUGAGUGGGGGAUAACUGAGGGAAACCUUAGCUAAUACCGCAUAAUACCCACGGGUCAAAGGAGCAAUUCGCUCGAGGAGGGGGUCGCGGCCGAUUAGUUAGUUGGCGGGGUAAUGGCCCACCAAGACGAUGAUCGGUAUCCGGCCUGAGAGGGGCGCGACGGACGACGACUGGAACUGAAACACGGUCCAGACUCCUACGGGAGGCAGCAGUGGGGAAUUUGCGCAAUGGGGGAAACCCUGACGCAGCAACGCCGCGUGGAGGAUGAAGUCCUUCGGGACGUAAACUCCUUUCGAUCGGGACGAUUAUGACGGUACCGGAAGAAGAAGCCCCGGCUAACUUCGUAGCCAGCAGCCGC
This 466-nucleotide ribosomal RNA is filed under the name uncultured bacterium. RNAcentral's name for it is "SSU rRNA". It matches the Rfam family "Bacterial small subunit ribosomal RNA", at positions 26 to 518 of the family's 1533-position model. The record is from RNAcentral.